This is a non-coding RNA of Gasterosteus aculeatus (three-spined stickleback), 686 nucleotides long. The record is from Rfam. NCBI's taxonomy places the organism in Eukaryota, Metazoa, Chordata, Actinopteri, Perciformes, Gasterosteidae.
CCCAACCCAUCUUGAAACACGGUCAAAAACCCCGUGGCGCAAUAAAAGUGAAAUCUGGCGAAUGACGGCAGAGGUUGGAUCCUGGCCUUUCGGAGUCGAGUACACCACUGGCUAAUCUCGCCUGGAAGUGGAGAAUGAACGUGUUCCAUAGGACCCGGAAAAUGGUAAACUAUGCCUGGGCAGUGGGAAACCAGAGGUCUGUGCGACCUGGGUAUAGUGGAGAAAGACUAAUCAAACCAUCUAGUAGCUGGUUUAGUGCGGAUCUUGGUGGUAGUACCAAAUAUUCAAACGAGAACUUUGAAUGCUGAAGUGAAGAAGGGUUCAGCAGGGGAACAGCAGUUGAACAUGGGUCAGUCGGUCCUAAGAGAUGGGCGAACGCCGUUCGGAAGGGCGGUGCGAUCGACUACAUCGCGCCCGGCUGAUUGAAAGGGAGUCAGGUUUAGCUCCCCAGACCUGGAGUGGUAGAGAUAGGCACCACGUGGCGCCCAGUGCAGUGGUGCAAACGAUUCCCGAGAAGCUGGGGGGAGAGUUUUCUUUUCUUUGUGGGAGAGAGGGGGCAGUGCUCUGUUAAGUGUUGCAGUUCCAGCAGCAACGGGUGAGCUCACUUCUACUGUUCAGAGCAGGGUUAAGUUACAUAAGAGCAUAAGCCAUAAGAAAUAAUAUGUCUCAGUGCAUAGUUCUGAGUG